GAUGAACGCUAGCGGCAGGCCUAACACAUGCAAGUCGAGGGGCAGCACGUCUUCGGAUGGUGGCGACCGGCGCACGGGUGCGUAACGCGUAUGCAACCUACCUCUUACAGUGGGAUAGCCCAGAGAAAUUUGGAUUAAUACCGCAUAGUAUACAGAUUCAGCAUUGGGACUGUAUUAAACAUUUAUGGGUAAGAGAUGGGCAUGCGUUCUAUUAGUUAGUUGGAGUGGUAACGGCACCCCAAGACAGCGAUAGAUAGGGCCCGUGAGAGGGGGAGUCCCCCACCACUGGUACGUGAGACACGGACCGAGACUUCCUACGGGAGGCAGCAGUGAGGAAUAUUGGACAAUGGGCGAGAGCCUGAUCAGCCAUGCCGCGUGCAGGAAGACGGCCCGUAU
RNAcentral lists this ribosomal RNA (396 nucleotides) under uncultured bacterium. RNAcentral describes it as "bacterial SSU rRNA". It matches the Rfam family "Bacterial small subunit ribosomal RNA", at positions 28 to 419 of the family's 1533-position model. The record is from RNAcentral.